This 740-nucleotide ribosomal RNA is filed under the name uncultured archaeon. Its description in RNAcentral is "bacterial SSU rRNA". It matches the Rfam family "Archaeal small subunit ribosomal RNA", at positions 1 to 750 of the family's 1478-position model. The record is from RNAcentral.
UUCCGGUUGAUCCCGCCGGACCCGACUGCUAUCAGAGUGGGACUAAGCCAUGCGAGUCGACGUAGCAAUGCGUGGCGAACGGCUCAGUAACACGUAGUCAACAUGCCCAGGGGACGUGGAUAACCUCGGGAAACCGAGAAUAAACCACGAUAGGUCACGAUUUCUGGAAUGGAUCAUGGCCUAAAUCUACUUGGCCCCUGGAUUGGACUGCGGCCGAUCAGGCUGUUGGUGAGGUAAUGGCCCACCAAACCUAUAACCGGUACGGGCUCUGAGAGGAGAAGCCCGGAGAUGGGCACUGAGACAAGGGCCCAGGCCCUAUGGGGCGCAGCAGGCGCGAAACCUCUGCAAUAGGCGAAAGCCUGACAGGGUUACUCUGAGUGAUUUCCGCUAAGGGGAUCUUUUGGCACCUCUAAAAAUGGUGCAGGAUAAGGGGUGGGCAAGUCUGGUGUCAGCCGCCGCGGUAAUACCAGCACCCCGAGUGGUCGGGACGAUUAUUGGGCCUAAAGCAUCCGUAGCCGGUUCUGCAAGUCUUCCGUUAUAUCCAGCCGCUCAACGGAUGGGCCGCGGAGGAUACUACAGGACUAGGAGGCGGGAGAGGCAAGCGGUACUCAGUGGGUAGGGGUAAAAUCCUUUGAUCCAUUGAAGACCACCAGUGGCGAAGGCGGCUUGCCAGAACGCGCUCGACGGUGAGGGAUGAAAGCUGGGGGAGCAAACCGGAUUAGAUACCCGGGUAGUCCCAG